This 711-nucleotide ribosomal RNA is filed under the name uncultured bacterium. RNAcentral describes it as "bacterial SSU rRNA". It matches the Rfam family "Bacterial small subunit ribosomal RNA", at positions 94 to 824 of the family's 1533-position model. The record is from RNAcentral.
AGCGGCGGACGGGUGAGUAACGCGUGGGUAACCUGCCCUGUACACACGGAUAACAUACCGAAAGGUAUGCUAAUACGAGAUAAUAUGCUUUUAUCGCAUGGUAGAAGUAUCAAAGCUUUUGCGGUACAGGAUGGACCCGCGUCUGAUUAGCUAGUUGGUAAGGUGAUGGCUUACCAAGGCGACGAUCAGUAGCCGACCUGAGAGGGUGAUCGGCCACAUUGGAACUGAGACACGGUCCAAACUCCUACGGGAGGCAGCAGUGGGGAAUAUUGCACAAUGGGCGAAAGCCUGAUGCAGCAACGCCGCGUGAGCGAUGAAGGCCUUCGGGUCGUAAAGCUCUGUCCUCAAGGAAGAUAAUGACGGUACUUGAGGAGGAAGCCCCGGCUAACUACGUGCCAGCAGCCGCGGUAAUACGUAGGGGGCUAGCGUUAUCCGGAAUUACUGGGCGUAAAGGGUGCGUAGGUGGUUUCUUAAGUCAGAGGUGAAAGGCUACGGCUCAACCGUAGUAAGCCUUUGAAACUGGGAAACUUGAGUGCAGGAGAGGAGAGUGGAAUUCCUAGUGUAGCGGUGAAAUGCGUAGAUAUUAGGAGGAACACCAGUAGCGAAGGCGGCUUUCUGGACUGUAACUGACACUGAGGCACGAAAGCGUGGGGAGCAAACAGGAUUAGAUACCCUGGUAGUCCACGCCGUAAACGAUGAGUACUAAGGUGU